GAGCAAGGCUUGCCCGCGAAAGCGUUCGAUCAGCCAGUAUCUUUUCUGGCGGGUCCAGCGCUUUCGCGGGCAAGCCUCGCUC
Molecule: unclassified non-coding RNA, 82 nt
Filed under: Pseudomonas prosekii
Lineage: Bacteria; Pseudomonadati; Pseudomonadota; Gammaproteobacteria; Pseudomonadales; Pseudomonadaceae
Source: RNAcentral